AUUUUUCGAAUUCUUACAUUAAUUACAUCGUUUCAUCAUCUCUUUCUUACAUCACAUUUUCCUCAAAAUAGGAUUUACAUUCUUUUCUUUACAUCACUAUUCAUCAAGUCCAAAAGAUGAUAACAGGGUGUCUACUAACAAAAUGUACCCAACAUCGGUGGCCUCUGUCUAAGGCGCGAUACCUUUACCUCGGUCGCUCGCCGGCUCGCUCGGUCCCGGCUCUGUGGAAAUAGUGGGAUGAGAACUACAACAAAGUUCCCAGUGGGUUCGGCCCCAACAUCACCGACUUUCCCACUAGGACUAACUCAGGCAUAAUAGAAAGGAUAAGUAAGGUAUAGUAACCAAUCUAUAACAUGAUGCUAAUAUGCCUGAACAAAUAGCAAGAAAUAUGCUCAACAUUAAAUAUAUGCAGAUUAUGCAAAUUCUUUAUUCUUUUCACUUUACUCUUGUUCUUUGUUCUUUACACUUUGUGCUUGGCUCUUUGUUCUUUAAUCUCAAGGCUAACCCGGGGGUUUCGCCACUUUAACUUGCUUCACAUUAAGUCCAUCAUCGCAGGAACUCACCAGCUAGGACCGUCCUUACGGGUCUACUCCAACCCGGAUGCAUAACUCCGGAGCGCAUCGCCCGAAGGGGAGCGACCGCCCUCGAGCACGGAACUCAUAGCAAGCAUGAUCAUAUCCUUAACUCAAAGGAUUAUAAGUUCAAUCUUGACUUUACACUAGCUCUAGUGUUCUUUACAUCACUUUAUGUUGCAAACUCAUGCAAUCACAUUCUUAACAUUUUCAUUUCACUUGCUAACUCUAGCAUUCUUGUUCUUAUUGCCCCAUUUUACUUUAACUUCACACAUUGUCACUUUCUUCAUUCUUUACUUCACUUUAGUUCUAGGCAUCACACUAACUCUAGUGUCUCUUUACU
RNAcentral lists this long non-coding RNA (915 nucleotides) under Ananas comosus (pineapple). Its description in RNAcentral is "long non-coding RNA (ACOM_LNC041624)". Lineage: Eukaryota; Viridiplantae; Streptophyta; Magnoliopsida; Poales; Bromeliaceae. The record is from RNAcentral.